ACUGCGACUUUUAUUUUCUAGCUUUCAGUACACAUUUAUAAUUUUAUAGCUAUUCUCGCGUCUCAAGUUAAUAACAAAAAGUGUUUAUUUUAUAAAAUAAAAACGGUGCCUCUAUAACUUUUUUAUAAUCCUGCUUCUUUCGCAUUCAUUGCGCUUACUCGAAUAAUAUUCUCUGCAACAGGUUAUCGGCCUUAAGCCCGUAAGGAAGUGAGAGCAGUGAAUUGCUUUGUGCAAAAUAAAGGUGUUGCGUACAAAAAAUAAUAAUUGAAAAAAAUUAGAGUGCCAUCGACGUUUUGAGCCAUAGAGUUACCAUGUCGUAAAAAGGAGACAGCUACGACGUAAACAAGCAGCCUUAAAAGGUAGAGAGAGAGAUGAAACGAUCGGAGAAGGGGAAGGAGUGUUGGUGGGUCUUUCUCCUUAGCGCAAUCAGUGUGGGGUCUCUACCAAGUUUUCCCGGGCUUCGGAUGCCAACUUCUUGUUUGCGUGGCAAAAUAUCUUAUGCAGAUCCAGCAGUCCACUUUUGUUGGGCUUGCAUGUUUAUUUUUUUUCAAGACCGAUGGGCCAAAAAGAAGAGAGACUAGCACAAAUAAAAAAAUAGCUCCACUCUUAUUUCAAGCAUCAGAAAAACAGUGACGUGGAUUUCCAGCCUACGAUGUGAAAAGGAGUUUUGCUAGUUAGAAAUGAACAACGCUUUCAAAAUUACCUUGUGCUCGAUCUUAAUGCAAGAAUUUAACACUUCUUACAUUCUCGUUAAGCUUUGUUCCGUCAUAAUGAACUUUCCUGGUAAACAAAUAUUUUUGCAGAUGUACUCUUAUGCAUAUAUGCACCGAAAAACUUGUCAGCUCAUUGCGUAUACAAAAAUCAUAUAAUGCGCCUUAAUGACUACCACCAUAU
Trichogramma pretiosum is the source of this 894-nucleotide long non-coding RNA. RefSeq lists it as uncharacterized. The record is from RefSeq and is a predicted model, not a curated record. Lineage: Eukaryota; Metazoa; Arthropoda; Insecta; Hymenoptera; Trichogrammatidae. The transcript has 4 exons.